GAUUGAACGCUGGCGGCAGGCCUAACACAGGCAAGUCGAGCGGAUGACGGGAGCUUGCUCCUGGAUUCAGCGGCGGACGGGGGAGUAAUGCCUAGGAAUCUGCCUGGUAGUGGGGGAUAACGUCCGGAAACGGGCGCUAAUACCGCAUACGUCCUGAGGGAGAAAGUGGGGGUUCUUCGUACCUCACGCUAUCAGAUGAGCCUAGGGCGGAUUAGCUAGUUGGUGGGGUAAAGGCCUACCAAGGCGACGAUCCGUAACUGGUCUGAGAGGAUGAUCAGUCACACUGGAACUGAGACACGGUCCAGACUCCUACGGGAGGCAGCAGUGGGGAAUCUUGGACAAUGGGCGAAAGCCUGAUCCAGCCAUGCCGCGUGUGUGAAGAAGGUCUUCGGAUUGUAAAGCACUUUAAGUUGGGAGGAAGGGCAGUAAGUUAAUCCCUUGCUGUUUUGACGUUACCAACAGAAUAAGCACCGGCUAACUUCGUG
Molecule: ribosomal RNA, 485 nt
Filed under: uncultured bacterium
Lineage: Bacteria
Description: partial 16S ribosomal RNA
Rfam family: Bacterial small subunit ribosomal RNA
Source: RNAcentral